UACGUAGGGUGCAAGCGUUAUCCGGAAUUACUGGGCGUAAAGCGUGCGCAGGCGGUGAUGUAAGACAGGUGUGAAAUCCCCGGGCUUAACCUGGGAACUGCAUUUGUGACUGCAUCGCUGGAGUGCGGCAGAGGGGGAUGGAAUUCCGCGUGUAGCAGUGAAAUGCGUAGAUAUGCGGAGGAACACCGAUGGCGAAGGCAAUCCCCUGGGCCUGCACUGACGCUCAUGCACGAAAGCGUGGGGAGCAAACAGG
RNAcentral lists this ribosomal RNA (253 nucleotides) under uncultured bacterium. RNAcentral describes it as "partial 16S ribosomal RNA". It matches the Rfam family "Bacterial small subunit ribosomal RNA", at positions 524 to 776 of the family's 1533-position model. The record is from RNAcentral.